Molecule: long non-coding RNA, 531 nt
Organism: Oncorhynchus tshawytscha (Chinook salmon)
Lineage: Eukaryota; Metazoa; Chordata; Actinopteri; Salmoniformes; Salmonidae
Source: Ensembl
CAAUAUUAGACACUCUGGGGCAGGUAACAGACAAUAUUAGACACUCUGGGACAGGUAACAGGCAAUAUUAGACACUCUGGGACAGGUAACAGACAAUAUUGGACACUCUGGGACAGGUAACAGACAACAUGACUCUCCAGACCCAAGAAGGAAAGCAGUGCAGUGAAGUGCUGGUGCAGGAAAUAAACAGAAGGCAAGGAGAGAAGAGAUAACUGGAGAGAGAGAGGGAGAUAACUGGAGAGAGAGAGUGAGAUGACUGGAGAGAGAGAGGGAGAUAACUGGAGAGAGAGAGUGAGAUGACUGGAGAGAGGGAGAUGACUGGAGAGAGAGAGGGAGAUGACUGGAGAGAGAGAGAGAGAUGACUGGAGAGAGAGAGGGAGAUAACUGGAGAGAGAGAGGGAGAUGACUGGAGAGAGAGAGGGAGAUGACUGGAGAGAGAGAGGGAGAUGACUGGAGAGAGAGAGGGAGAUAACUGGAGAGAGAGAGGGAGAUAACUGGAGAGAGAGAGGGAGAUGACUGGAGAGAGAGAGG